UACGGGGGGAGCAAGCGUUGUUCGGAUUUACUGGGCGUAAAGGGCGCGUAGGCGGAUCUUUAAGUCGGGGGUGAAAGCCUGUGGCUCAACCACAGAAUUGCCUUCGAUACUGAAGAUCUCGAGACCGGAAGAGGUAAGUGGAACUGCGAGUGUAGAGGUGAAAUUCGUAGAUAUUCGCAAGAACACCAGUGGCGAAGGCGGCUUACUGGUCCGGUUCUGACGCUGAGGCGCGAAAGCUAGGGGAGCAAACAGG
This 253-nucleotide ribosomal RNA is filed under the name uncultured bacterium. RNAcentral's name for it is "partial 16S ribosomal RNA". It matches the Rfam family "Bacterial small subunit ribosomal RNA", at positions 524 to 776 of the family's 1533-position model. The record is from RNAcentral.